This 77-nucleotide transfer RNA is filed under the name Acidobacteriota bacterium. RNAcentral's name for it is "tRNA-Thr". It matches the Rfam family "tRNA". Rfam says of the family: Transfer RNA (tRNA) molecules are approximately 80 nucleotides in length. Their secondary structure includes four short double-helical elements and three loops (D, anti-codon, and T loops). The record is from RNAcentral. Lineage: Bacteria; Pseudomonadati; Acidobacteriota. RNAcentral also lists the same sequence under 1 other name.
GCUGGCGUAGCUCAGGUCGGUAGAGCAGCUGAUUUGUAAUCAGCAGGUCGGGGGUUCAAAUCCCUUCGCCAGCUCCA